UACGGGGGGGGCAAGCGUUGUUCGGAAUUACUGGGCGUAAAGGACUCGUAGGCGGCCAACUAAGUCAGACGUGAAAUCCCUCGGCUUAACCGGGGAACUGCGUCUGAUACUGGAUGGCUCGAGUUUGGGAGAGGGAUGCGGAAUUCCAGGUGUAGCGGUGAAAUGCGUAGAUAUCUGGAGGAACACCGGUGGCGAAGGCGGCAUCCUGGACCAACACUGACGCUGAUGAGCGAAAGCCAGGGGAGCAAACGGG
This 253-nucleotide ribosomal RNA is filed under the name uncultured bacterium. RNAcentral's name for it is "partial 16S ribosomal RNA". It matches the Rfam family "Bacterial small subunit ribosomal RNA", at positions 524 to 776 of the family's 1533-position model. The record is from RNAcentral.